GCGGAGAUGAGGUGCUUGCACCUUAUCUUAGCGGCGGACGGGUGAGUAAUGCUUAGGAAUCUGCCUAUUAGUGGGGGACAACAUUCCGAAAGGAAUGCUAAUACCGCAUACGUCCUACGGGAGAAAGCAGGGGAUCUUCGGACCUUGCGCUAAUAGAUGAGCCUAAGUCGGAUUAGCUAGUUGGUGGGGUAAAGGCCUACCAAGGCGACGAUCUGUAGCGGGUCUGAGAGGAUGAUCCGCCACACUGGGACUGAGACACGGCCCAGACUCCUACGGGAGGCAGCAGUGGGGAAUAUUGGACAAUGGGGGGAACCCUGAUCCAGCCAUGCCGCGUGUGUGAAGAAGGCCUUAUGGUUGUAAAGCACUUUAAGCGAGGAGGAGGCUACUGAGACUAAUACUCUUGGAUAGUGGACGUUACUCGCAGAAUAAGCACCGGCUAACUCUGUGCCAGCAGCCGCGGUAAUACAGAGGGUGCGAGCGUUAAUCGGAUUUACUGGGCGUAAAGCGUGCGUAGGAGGCUUUUUAAGUCGGAUGUGAAAUCCCCGAGCUUAACUUGGGAAUUGCAUUCGAUACUGGGAAGCUAGAGUAUGGGAGAGGAUGGUAGAAUUCCAGGUGUAGCGGUGAAAUGCGUAGAGAUCUGGAGGAAUACCGAUGGCGAAGGCAGCCAUCUGGCCUAAUACUGACGCUGAGGUACGAAAGCAUGGGGAGCAAACAGGAUUAGAUACCCUGGUAGUCCAUGCCGUAAACGAUGUCUACUAGCCGUUGGGGCCUUUGAGGCUUUAGUGGCGCAGCUAACGCGAUAAGUAGACCGCCUGGGGAGUACGGUCGCA
RNAcentral lists this ribosomal RNA (830 nucleotides) under uncultured bacterium. Its description in RNAcentral is "bacterial SSU rRNA". It matches the Rfam family "Bacterial small subunit ribosomal RNA", at positions 66 to 890 of the family's 1533-position model. The record is from RNAcentral.